ACAAAAAAAAAAAAAAAAAAAAAAAUUGAGCCAUUAUGACACUACAGGAGGAGAAGUGUGAGUGCAGUGGUUGGAAAGUGAGGGAAGCUCCAGCUGGAAUAGCCACCUGUCCUGGGCACAGCUGUCCCUUCCAGGACAAAAGGAACAGACUGGACAAGCCCUGCAGGGCUAAUCAGAUAAAAGGCUCCUGGCUAUUACUUUUUGGCACGUAAGCUCAUGUGAAGCUGGCAUCCCACCCCCCUGCACGGGCACGGUGCCACUGUAGCAGAUGGGCGAGCAGUGAAAUGAGCACAAGUGGCAAGUCAGACCCUGUCAGGGUAACUUCCUUUCCAGGAACAAGGAAACUGCACUCAGUGGGGUUGUUCAGCACCUAAAAUACAGUGUUGAUCCACGUCUCUGUAAAGAGAGAGGAAGUGAAAAAUCCACCACAGAAGGCGCUGGAUCUUCUCUUUGCUUUCAGAAAAGCACGAACUUCCCAAAGACACCAC
This is a long non-coding RNA of Empidonax traillii (willow flycatcher), 488 nucleotides long. RefSeq lists it as uncharacterized. NCBI's taxonomy places the organism in Eukaryota, Metazoa, Chordata, Aves, Passeriformes, Tyrannidae. The record is from RefSeq and is a predicted model, not a curated record. The transcript is spliced from 3 exons.